CAAGUGCAGAGAUCAGCAUCAAAAGGGUGUCAGUCAGUGGACUGUGCCUAUGUACAACGAACAUGGUUCUUGCCUUUUACCAGAACCAUCCGGGUGCUGUCUCCCGCCAGGGUUAAGGUAGAAAGCUUCGUAUUUUUUGGAACUUUUUUUUCAACUUUCAG
This 161-nucleotide small nuclear RNA is filed under the name Lachancea mirantina. The stretch from base 32 to 159 matches the Rfam family "U5 spliceosomal RNA". From Rfam's summary of the family: U5 RNA is a component of both types of known spliceosome. The precise function of this molecule is unknown, though it is known that the 5' loop is required for splice site selection and p220 binding, and that both the 3' stem-loop and the Sm site are important for Sm protein binding and cap methylation. Lineage: Eukaryota; Fungi; Ascomycota; Saccharomycetes; Saccharomycetales; Saccharomycetaceae. The record is from RNAcentral.